CAAGUGUGGACACAGGGAAACACUAAACAGGGAGCUGGCCAGACUGAGCAGUGACAGAGGAAACAUGAUCCAUCUUGGGGAGAGUCUGAGAGGUUACUGGCUCCAGAGGCAAGGAGUAAUAUCUCCAUGAAUGGAUGUUCUCCUCUGGAAACCAAGAAGAAAGGACCUGCUGCCUUCUGGAAUUGGCAAUCACUCCCCAUUUGCAGCCCUAAUUAUACUGCCUACCUGAUUGUGUGACACAAUGUGUUUAGUGCCACUUGGGCAGCCUGUGGAUGUGCCUUCCCUUCCUUCCUGAGUUCUCCCGGGUCCGAGGGCUUCCCCGACUGGGCAUGUGACUUUCCUCGGGGCCAACACACAUCACUCAUCCCCUCGGUGCUGUCACACCUCGAACAAUGUGCCUUCUUUGCAAAGCUCCAAGUCUCGUGUGCUCAGGGGAUGUGCACACGUGGGCUUGUACGUGCCAUGUAUUUGACCUUCUUUUCUCUGUGUGCUUCAAACCCUCCCUGAUGCAGUCAGUGGUCUGCAGGAUCUGUUUGGUGCCGAUGUCACC
RNAcentral lists this long non-coding RNA (550 nucleotides) under Ursus maritimus (polar bear). RNAcentral's name for it is "lncRNA (ENSUMAG00000002919.1)". The record is from RNAcentral. Lineage: Eukaryota; Metazoa; Chordata; Mammalia; Carnivora; Ursidae.